RNAcentral lists this ribosomal RNA (451 nucleotides) under uncultured bacterium. RNAcentral describes it as "partial 16S ribosomal RNA". It matches the Rfam family "Bacterial small subunit ribosomal RNA", at positions 28 to 507 of the family's 1533-position model. The record is from RNAcentral.
GAUGAACGCUGGCGGCGUGCCUAACACAUGCAAGUCGAGCGGCAGCGAGGGGUGCUUGCACCCUGUCGGCGAGCGGCGGACGGCUGAGUAACGCGUGGGAACGUGCCCCAAAGUGAGGAAUAACUGCCCGAAAGGGUAGCUAAUACCGCAUAUUAUCUUCGGAUCAAAGGAUUUAUCCGCUUUGGGAGCGGCUCGCGUCGGAUUAGGUAGUUGGUGAGGUAAUGGCUCACCAAGCCGACGAUCCGUAGCUGGUCUGAGAGGAUGACCAGCCAGACUGGAACUGAGACACGGUCCAGACUCCUACGGGAGGCAGCAGUGAGGAAUCUUCCACAAUGGGCGAAAGCCUGAUGGAGCAACGCCGCGUGCAGGACGAAGGCCUUCGGGUUGUAAACUGCUUUUAUAAGUGAGGAAUAUGACGGUAACUUAUGAAUAAGGUUCGGCUAACUACGUG